Long non-coding RNA from Ruditapes philippinarum (Manila clam), 966 nucleotides. RefSeq lists it as uncharacterized. The record is from RefSeq and is a predicted model, not a curated record. The transcript has 4 exons. Lineage: Eukaryota; Metazoa; Mollusca; Bivalvia; Venerida; Veneridae.
CAUAUCAAAAGUCUAGCUAAAUCUAAGUUGCGCAACAUAGAAAAAAACAGGUUUUUAUCGCGUUAUUUUUUGUGAUUUUUUUCUGACGACAACGGUCUUCCAUAGGCGAACAAAGCGUCUCCGAUACUCAGAAUAGCGACUGCAUAAUGGCGACAACAACAACAAAAUAAGUGUAAACAAAAUAAAUGUCAGUAAAGUACACUGUAAAGUGGGUUGGUAUAUUUUCCUUAAAAUAUUACAGAUCAUAAUAGGAAUUAUUAAUGUGGGGUCGGGUACCGCUUUGAGGUAGUCUUCAUUGAUGUAUGCUUGAUUUUGAAAAAAAAAAAAAAAAUCCAGUAAACUAUAUGUACACUAAAUGAAUUUCAUCAACACACCAGAGCCAAUGGGUAUGCCCGAUCAUGUGUUCUGAGGACACUGUGAUGUAUACGAGUUAAAGAUGAACUCCUGUCUGAUUUGUUAACGGCUGUUCAUACAAAGACAGUUAAAGGCAACGACAAGGAAUGCAAGGGAAUAAAUGCUGCCAGUGAGAAAUAAAAUGACAGUUUAAAAGUUGAAUCGGAAUAAUAUAUUCACAUUGAGUGUAGAAAAGAUGUACUGUAACCCACAUUACACUAAAAGAGACACUAAGACAGAAAAAAAAAAACACUGAUGCCACCAUUGAGAUCAAUGACUGAUAAGUUUUCAUACAAAAAAAGAUUGUUUAUAUUGUGGUCAAUCUUUAGUAAGUAAGGGUAAAACAAGGAAGUGUGAUGUUUCGCCAGUAAGGACACUAGAACCUACUGUUUUGAAUAUAUGUAUACAGAGGAAUGACUGUUUGUCUGAUACAGUGAGAGCAAGGAUAGAACAGGUUCACAACUUGCUUGUAGCCGAUGCUCUUUACCAUCAAACAUGUUUAUGCUCCUCUAAUUUCAGAACUGGAAAAGAUAUACCAGAAGAAUUUCAGGUGCUACCAUCUAGUGAUAAAAA